AUUGAACGCUGGCGGCAUGCCUUACACAUGCAAGUCGAACGGCAGCGCGGGAGCAAUCCUGGCGGCGAGUGGCGAACGGGUGAGUAAUAUAUCGGAACGUGCCCAGUAGUGGGGGAUAGCCCGGCGAAAGCCGGAUUAAUACCGCAUGAGACCUGAGGGUGAAAGCGGGGAUCGCAAGACCUCGCGCUAUUGGAGCGGCCGAUAUCAGAUUAGCUAGUUGGUGGGGUAAAGGCCUACCAAGGCAACGAUCUGUAGUUGGUCUGAGAGGACGACCAGCCACACUGGGACUGAGACACGGCCCAGACUCCUACGGGAGGCAGCAGUGGGGAAUUUUGGACAAUGGGCGCAAGCCUGAUCCAGCAAUGCCGCGUGCAGGAAGAAGGCCUCGGUU
This 391-nucleotide ribosomal RNA is filed under the name uncultured bacterium. RNAcentral describes it as "bacterial SSU rRNA". It matches the Rfam family "Bacterial small subunit ribosomal RNA", at positions 29 to 424 of the family's 1533-position model. The record is from RNAcentral.